RNAcentral lists this ribosomal RNA (252 nucleotides) under uncultured bacterium. Its description in RNAcentral is "partial 16S ribosomal RNA". It matches the Rfam family "Bacterial small subunit ribosomal RNA", at positions 524 to 776 of the family's 1533-position model. The record is from RNAcentral.
UACGUAGGCAGCAAGCGUUGUUCGGAGUUACUGGGCGUAAAGGGUGCGUAGGCGGUUGUUUAAGUUUGGUGUGAAAUCUCCCGGCUCAACUGGGAGGUGCGCCGAAUACUGAAUGACUAGAGUGCGGGAGAGGAGAGUGGAAUUCCUGGUGUAGCGGUGAAAUGCGUAGAUAUCAGGAGGAACACCGGUGGUGUAGACGGCUCUCUGGACCGUAACUGACGCUGAGGCACGAAAGCGUGGGUAGCAAACAGG